AGAUUAAGUUAUUAAGGGCGCACGGUGGAUGCCUUGGCACUAGAAGCCGAUGAAGGACGUUACUAACGACGAUAUGCUUUGGGGAGCUGUAAGUAAGCUUUGAUCCAGAGAUUUCCGAAUGGGGAAACCCAGCAUGAGUUAUGUCAUGUUAUCGAUAUGUGAAUACAUAGCAUAUCAGAAGGCACACCCGGAGAACUGAAACAUCUUAGUACCCGGAGGAAGAGAAAGAAAAUUCGAUUCCCUUAGUAGCGGCGAGCGAAACGGGAAGAGCCCAAACCAACAAGCUUGCUUGUUGGGGUUGUAGGACACUCUAUACGGAGUUACAAAGGACGACAUUAGACGAAUCAUCUGGAAAGAUGAAUCAAAGAAGGUAAUAAUCCUGUAGUCGAAAAUGUUGUCUCUCUUGAGUGGAUCCUGAGUACGACGGAGCACGUGAAAUUCCGUCGGAAUCUGGGAGGACCAUCUCCUAAGGCUAAAUACUCUCUAGUGACCGAUAGUGAACCAGUACCGUGAGGGAAA
RNAcentral lists this ribosomal RNA (519 nucleotides) under Staphylococcus aureus. Its description in RNAcentral is "partial 23S ribosomal RNA". It matches the Rfam family "Bacterial large subunit ribosomal RNA", at positions 1 to 512 of the family's 2925-position model. The record is from RNAcentral. Lineage: Bacteria; Bacillati; Bacillota; Bacilli; Caryophanales; Staphylococcaceae.